Molecule: transfer RNA, 74 nt
Filed under: Ixodes scapularis (black-legged tick)
Lineage: Eukaryota; Metazoa; Arthropoda; Arachnida; Ixodida; Ixodidae
Description: tRNA-Ile
Rfam family: tRNA
About the family: Transfer RNA (tRNA) molecules are approximately 80 nucleotides in length. Their secondary structure includes four short double-helical elements and three loops (D, anti-codon, and T loops).
Source: RNAcentral
GCCCUGGUUAGCUCAGUUGGUAGAGCGCUCCACCAAUAAUGGAGAGGUUUCGGGUUCGAUACCCGGACCAGGCG